CCUACGGGAGGCAGCAGUGAGGAAUAUUGGUCAAUGGACGCGAGUCUGAACCAGCCAUGUAGCGUGCAGGAUGACUGCUCUAUGGGUUGUAAACUUCUUUUAUAUGGGGAUAAAGUUCAGUAUGUAUACUGUUUUGUAAGUACCAUAUGAAUAAGGAUCGGCUAACUCCGUGCCAGCAGCCGCGGUAAUACGGAGGAUCCAAGCGUUAUCCGGAUUUAUUGGGUUUAAAGGGAGCGUAGGCGGACGGUUAAGUUAGUUGUGAAAGUUCGCGGCUCAACCGUAAAACUGCAGCUGAUACUGUGUGGCUUGAGUGCAGCAGAGGUAGGCGGAAUGCAUGGUGUAGCGGUGAAAUGCUUAGAGAUCACGAAGAACACCGAUUGCGAAGGCAGCUUACUAAACUGUAACUGACGCUGAUGCUCGAAAGUGUGGGUAGCAAACAGGAUUAGAUACCCGUGUAGUC
RNAcentral lists this ribosomal RNA (460 nucleotides) under uncultured bacterium. RNAcentral describes it as "partial 16S ribosomal RNA". It matches the Rfam family "Bacterial small subunit ribosomal RNA", at positions 338 to 795 of the family's 1533-position model. The record is from RNAcentral.